This 253-nucleotide ribosomal RNA is filed under the name uncultured bacterium. RNAcentral's name for it is "partial 16S ribosomal RNA". It matches the Rfam family "Bacterial small subunit ribosomal RNA", at positions 524 to 776 of the family's 1533-position model. The record is from RNAcentral.
UACGGAGGGUGCAAGCGUUAAUCGGAAUUACUGGGCGUAAAGCGCACGCAGGCGGUGUGUCAAGUCGGAUGUGAAAUCCCCGGGCUCAACCCGGGAACUUCAUGCGAAACUGGCAGACUAGAGUACUGUAGAGGGGGGUAGAAUUCCAGGUGUAGCGGUGAAAUGCGUAGAGAUCUGGAGGAAUACCGGUGGCGAAGGCGGCCCCCUGGACGAAGACUGACGCUCAGGUGCGAAAGCGUGGGGAGCAAACAGG